This 468-nucleotide ribosomal RNA is filed under the name uncultured bacterium. Its description in RNAcentral is "partial 16S ribosomal RNA". It matches the Rfam family "Bacterial small subunit ribosomal RNA", at positions 28 to 507 of the family's 1533-position model. The record is from RNAcentral.
GACGAACGCUGGCGGCGUGCUUAACACAUGCAAGUCGAACGGAAAGGCCCUGCUUUUGUGGGGUACUCGAGUGGCGAACGGGUGAGUAACACGUGAGUAACCUGCCCUUGACUUUGGGAUAACUUCAGGAAACUGGGGCUAAUACCGGAUAGGAGCUCCUGCUGCAUGGUGGGGGUUGGAAAGUUUCGGCAGUUGGGGAUGGACUCGCGGCUUAUCAGCUUGUUGGUGGGGUAGUGGCUUACCAAGGCUUUGACGGGUAGCCGGCCUGAGAGGGUGACCGGCCACAUUGGGACUGAGAUACGGCCCAGACUCCUACGGGAGGCAGCAGUGGGGAAUAUUGCACAAUGGGCGGAAGCCUGAUGCAGCAACGCCGCGUGCGGGAUGACGACCUUCGGGUUGUAAACCGCUUUCGCCUGUGACGAAGCGUGAGUGACGGUAAUGGGUAAAGAAGCACCGGCUAACUACGUG